AUUGAACGCUGGCGGCAUGCCUUACACAUGCAAGUCGAACGGUAACGGGCCUUCGGGUGCCGACGAGUGGCGAACGGGUGAGUAAUACAUCGGAACGUGCCCGAUCGUGGGGGAUAACGAGGCGAAAGCUUUGCUAAUACCGCAUACGAUCUACGGAUGAAAGCAGGGGACCGCAAGGCCUUGCGCGGACGGAGCGGCCGACGGCAGAUUAGGUAGUUGGUGGGAUAAAAGCUUACCAAGCCGACGAUCUGUAGCUGGUCUGAGAGGAUGAUCAGCCACACUGGGACUGAGACACGGCCCAGACUCCUACGGGAGGCAGCAGUGGGGAAUUUUGGACAAUGGGCGCAAGCCUGAUCCAGCCAUGCCGCGUGCAGGAUGAGGGCCUUCGGGUUGUAAACUGCUUUUGUACGGAACGAAAAGCCUUCUUUUAAUACAGGAGGGUCAUGACGGUACCGUAAGAAUAAGCACCGGCUAACUACGUG
This 482-nucleotide ribosomal RNA is filed under the name uncultured bacterium. RNAcentral describes it as "partial 16S ribosomal RNA". It matches the Rfam family "Bacterial small subunit ribosomal RNA", at positions 30 to 507 of the family's 1533-position model. The record is from RNAcentral.